GACGAACGCUGGCGGCGUGCCUAAUACAUGCAAGUAGAACGCACAGUUUAUACCGUAGCUUGCUACACCAUAGACUGUGAGUUGCGAACGGGUGAGUAACGCGUAGGUAACCUGCCUGGUAGCGGGGGAUAACUAUUGGAAACGAUAGCUAAUACCGCAUAAUAUUAAUUAUUGCAUGAUAAUUAAUUGAAAGGUGCAAUUGCACCACUACCAGAUGGACCUGCGUUGUAUUAGCUAGUAGGUGAGGUAACGGCUCACCUAGGCGACGAUACAUAGCCGACCUGAGAGGGCGAUCGGCCACACUGGGAUUGAGACACGGCCCAGACUCCUACGGGAGGAAGCAGUAGGGAAUCUUCGGCAAUGGACGAAAGUCUGACCGAGCAACGCCGCGUGAGUGAAGAAGGUUUUCGGAUCGUAAAGCUCUGUUGUAAGAGAAGAACGGGUGUGAGAGUGGAAAGUUCACACUGUGACGGUAUCUUACCAGAAAGGGACGGCUAACUACGUG
This 505-nucleotide ribosomal RNA is filed under the name uncultured bacterium. Its description in RNAcentral is "partial 16S ribosomal RNA". It matches the Rfam family "Bacterial small subunit ribosomal RNA", at positions 28 to 507 of the family's 1533-position model. The record is from RNAcentral.